RNAcentral lists this ribosomal RNA (403 nucleotides) under Bacteroidota bacterium. RNAcentral's name for it is "Bacteroidetes bacterium partial 16S ribosomal RNA". It matches the Rfam family "Bacterial small subunit ribosomal RNA", at positions 355 to 776 of the family's 1533-position model. Lineage: Bacteria; Pseudomonadati; Bacteroidota. The record is from RNAcentral.
UGGGGAAUAUUGCACAAUGGGGGAAACCCUGAUGCAGCGACGCCGCGUGAACGAAGAAGGUAUUCGUAUCGUAAAGUUCUGUCCUAUGGGAAGAUAAUGACAGUACCAUAGAAGAAAGCUCCGGCUAAAUACGUGCCAGCAGCCGCGGUAAUACGUAUGGAGCGAGCGUUGUCCGGAAUUAUUGGGCGUAAAGGGUACGCAGGCGUUUUAAUAAGUCAAAUGUUAAAGAUCGGGGCUCAACCCCGUAAAGCAUUGGAAACUGAUAAACUUGAGUAGUAGGGAGGAAAAUGGAUUUCCUAGUGUAGUGGUGAAAUACGUAGAUAUUAGGAGGAAAACCACUAGCGAAGGCUACUUUCUGGACACAAACUGACACCGAGGUACGAAAGCGUGGGGAGCAAGCAGG